This 423-nucleotide ribosomal RNA is filed under the name uncultured bacterium. RNAcentral's name for it is "bacterial SSU rRNA". It matches the Rfam family "Bacterial small subunit ribosomal RNA", at positions 355 to 775 of the family's 1533-position model. The record is from RNAcentral.
UGAGGAAUAUUGGUCAAUGGGCGGCAGCCUGAACCAGCCAUCCCGCGUGAAGGAAGAAUGCGCUAUGCGUUGUAAACUUCUUUUUCAGGGGGAUAAAAUUUUGUAUGUACACAGAACUGAAGGUACCCUGAGAAUAAGCAUCGGCUAACUCCGUGCCAGCAGCCGCGGUAAUACGGAGGAUGCGAGCGUUAUCCGGUUUUAUUGGGUUUAAAGGGUGCGUAGGCGGAAGGAUAAGUCAGUGGUGAAACCCUGCAGCUUAACUGUAGACUUGCCAUUGAUACUGUGUUUCUUGAGUAUGGUCAAGGCAGGCGGAAUGUGUAAUGUAGCGGUGAAAUGCUUAGAUAUUACACAGAACACCGAUAGCGAAGGCAGCUUGCUGGGCCGUUACUGACGCUGAUGCACGAAAGCGUGGGGAUCGAACAG